RNAcentral lists this transfer RNA (72 nucleotides) under Camelus bactrianus (Bactrian camel). It matches the Rfam family "tRNA". From Rfam's summary of the family: Transfer RNA (tRNA) molecules are approximately 80 nucleotides in length. The record is from Rfam by way of RNAcentral. Lineage: Eukaryota; Metazoa; Chordata; Mammalia; Artiodactyla; Camelidae. RNAcentral also lists the same sequence under 1 other name.
GAGGAUAUAGCCUAGUGGUAGAGUGCAUGCCUAGCAUACAUGAGGUCCUGGGUUCAAUCCCCAGCACCCUGA